Molecule: non-coding RNA, 1210 nt
Organism: Heterocephalus glaber (naked mole-rat)
Lineage: Eukaryota; Metazoa; Chordata; Mammalia; Rodentia; Bathyergidae
Source: RefSeq, a predicted model, not a curated record
GUGGUUUUUCCGUAAGUCGCCAUGGAUCUUGAUGGGGAACGCGGGGGAGGAGCAGGGAAGAGCUCCUGUAAGCUGGGCAAGAAAAGGGUCUCCGUUGACUUACCCGCGGGAUGGGACACCAUGCUCUGAAGAAGUCCACUGGAAAUGGAGUCUGGUAGUGGGGAGAGGACAUCACAGAUGCAAAUAGAGGAGGGCAACCUGAAGGAGAAGCAUACCAGUUUCACUAUUCAAAUUGGCUGGACAGGAUAUACAUGGUGCUGGGAACUCUGGCUGGUGUUAUCCAUGGAGCUAUGCUCCCUCUCAUGUUGCUGGUGUUUGGAGACAUGAUGGACAGCUUUGCAAGUGUGGGAAAAUAUAGUCAAAGUACCAUGUCUGGAACUCAGGUCCUUGUGCUUGUGAGGCAGGUGGCGGAACCACUGAGCUAAAUCCCCAGCCCUAUAUGCUUGUUUUUAAUGGAGGUGAAGAAGCCAUGAAUGAUACAUGAUUAUUUUGCAGUGUUCUAGGUGAAGACAACAUCACAGUGAGCUUCUGCCAUCUGGAGGAAGACAUGACAGUGAUGUGGGCUGGUUCAGUGACCCUAAAAACACCACCGGAGCAUUGACUACCAGGCUCGCCAGUGACGCUGCUCAAGUGAAAGGGGCUAUAGGUUCCAGGCUUGCUGUAGUUGCCCAGAAUGUAGCAAAUCUCGGGACAGGAAUUAUUAUUUCCUUCAUCUAUGGCUGGCAGUUGACACUUUUACUCUUGGCCAUUGUGCCCAUCAUUGCCACAGCUGGAGUUGUUGAGAUGAAAAUGUUGCCCGGGAAUGCGCUCAGAGAUAAGGAAGAGCUGGAAGUUUCUGGAAAGGUGACCUCGGAGAGGGCGUCUUGCACAACAGGAUGUCGUGUUCAUGCUGCUGCCUGUCUCAUCUCAGGUCUUCUUGAAAUUCCUGGCAUUCGCAGGCUCCUUCUGAUCUGCAGUGGCAGGCCUCUGUACAUUACUCAAAUGUCAGAACUAUUGCAUUUUCAGAGGGAGGCCUUUCCUGACACUGGAAGUAAUUUAAAAAUAGACAAUGGGAAACAGGGAGGUGGACCUUUUGGAGAUGGGAAGGGGAGACAGGACAGGAGGAGAGGGGAGGGAGAGGAGGAGAAGGAAACACAAGGGGUUAAGAGUUGAUGCAUGAAUGUACUAACUCCCCACAAGGUGUACAUUCAAUGGGUAUUGCAAACAGAAU